RNAcentral lists this long non-coding RNA (1125 nucleotides) under Salmo salar (Atlantic salmon). RNAcentral describes it as "lncRNA (ENSSSAG00000112084.1)". Lineage: Eukaryota; Metazoa; Chordata; Actinopteri; Salmoniformes; Salmonidae. The record is from RNAcentral.
GGAGAGGAGAGGAGAGGAGAGGAGAGGAGAGGAAUGAACAAUGAACUGAGGAGAGGAGAGGAACAAACAAUGAACUGGGGAGAGGAGAGGAAUGAACAAUGAACUGGGGAGAACAGAGGAAUGAACAAUGAACUGGGGAGAGGAGAGGAAUGAAUGAAUUUGAACUGGAGAGAGGAUUGAGAGGAAUGAACAAUGAACUGGGGAGAGGAAUUAACAAUGAACUGGGGAGAGGAAUGAACAAUGAACUGGGGAGAGGAGAGGAAUGAAUGAAUUUGAACUGGAGAGAGGAUUGUAAUGAAUGAACAAUGAACUGGGGAGAGGAGAGGAAUGAACAAUGAACUGGGGAGAGGAGAGGAAUGAAUGAACAAUGAACUGGGGAGAGGAGAGGAAUGAACAAUGAACUGGGGAGAGGAGAGGGAUGAACAAUGAACUGGGGAGAGGAGAGGAAUGAACAAUGAACUGGGAGGAAUGAAUAAACAAUGAACUGGGAGGAAUGAACAAUGAACUGGGGAGAGGAAUGAAUGAACAAUGAACUGGGGAGAGGAGAGGAAUGAACAAUGAACUGGGGAGAGGAGAGGAAUGAACAAUGAACUGGGGAGAGGAGAGGAAUGAAUGAACAAUGAACUGGGGAGAGGAGAGGAAUGAACAAUGAACUGGGGAGAGGAGAGGAAUGAACAAUGAACUGGGGAGAGGAAUGAACAAUGAACUGGGGAGAGGAAUGAACAAUGAACUGGGGAGAGGAGAGGAAUGAACAAUGAACUGAGGAGAGGAGAGGAAUGAACAAUGAACUGGGGAGAGGAAUGAACAAUGAACUGGGGAGAGGAGAGGAAUGAACAAUGAACUGAGGAGAGGAGAGGAAUGAAUGAACAAUGAACUGGGGAGAGGAGAGGAAUGAACAAUGAACUGGGGAGAGGAGAGGAAUGAACAAUGAACUGGGGAGAGGAGAGGAAUGAAUGAAUUUGAACUGAGGAGAGGAGAGGAAUGAACAAUGAACUGGGGAGAGGAAUGAAUGAACAAUGAACUGGGGAGAGGAGAGGAAUGAAUGAAUUUGAACUGAGGAGAGGAGAGGAAUGAACAAUGAACUGGGGAGAGGAAUGAACAAUGAACUGGGGAGAGGAGAGGUAU